This 383-nucleotide ribosomal RNA is filed under the name uncultured bacterium. RNAcentral's name for it is "partial 16S ribosomal RNA". It matches the Rfam family "Bacterial small subunit ribosomal RNA", at positions 355 to 730 of the family's 1533-position model. The record is from RNAcentral.
UAGGGAAUCUUCCACAAUGGACGCAAGUCUGAUGGAGCAACGCCGCGUGAGUGAAGAAGGCUUUCGGGUCGUAAAACUCUGUUAUUGAAGAAGAGCGUGUGUGACAGUAACUGGUCAUGCAGUGACGGUAUUCAAUCAGAAAGUCACGGCUAACUACGUGCCAGCAGCCGCGGUAAUACGUAGGUGGCAAGCGUUGUCCGGAUUUAUUGGGCGUAAAGCGAGUGCAGGCGGUCUUUUAAGUCUGAUGUGAAAGCCUUCGGCUUAACCGAAGAAGGGCAUCGGAAACUGGGAGACUUGAGUGCAGAAGAGGAGAGUGGAACUCCAUGUGUAGCGGUGAAAUGCGUAGAUAUAUGGAAGAACACCAGUGGCGAAGGCGGCUCUCU